GUGCUCACUUUGGCAGCACAUGCCCUAAAACUGGAACAAAGCAGACAAGAGCAUGGCCCUUGCACAAGGAUGACAUGCAAAAUCAUGAAGCAUUCCAUAUAUUU
This is a small nuclear RNA of Octodon degus (degu), 104 nucleotides long. NCBI's taxonomy places the organism in Eukaryota, Metazoa, Chordata, Mammalia, Rodentia, Octodontidae. The record is from Ensembl.